GGUUAAGUUAUCAAGGGCGCAUGGUGAAUGCCUUGGCACUAGGAGCCGAUGAAGGACGGGACUAACACCGAUAUGCUUCGGGGAGCUGUAAGUAAGCUUUGAUCCGGAGAUUUCCGAAUGGGGGAACCCAGCAGUUUUAAUCGACUGUUACUAUUAACUGAAUACAUAGGUUAUAUAGAGGUAAACGCAGGGAACUGAAACAUCUAAUUACCUGCAGGAAUAGAAAGAAAAAUCGAUUCCCUAAGUAGCGGCGAGCGAACAGGGAAGAGCCCAAACCAAGAAGCUUGCUUCUUGGGGUUGUAGGACUGCUCAUUUGAGUUACCAAAGAUUUUCAUAGUAGAAGAGUCUGGGAAGACUCGCCGUAGAGGGUGAUAGCCCCGUAUACUAAAUGAAAGUCCCUCAGAGCAGUAUCCUGAGUACGGCGGAACACGAGAAAUUCCGUCGGAAUCCGGGAGGACCAUCUCCCAAGGCUAAAUACUCCCUAGUGACCGAUAGUGAACCAGUACCGUGAGGGAAAGGUGAAAAGCACCCCGGAAGGGGAGUGAAAUAGUUCCUGAAACCAUGUGCCUACAAAUAGUUAGAGCCCGUUAAUGGGUGAUAGCGUGCCUUUUGUAGAAUGAACCGGCGAGUUACGUUUGCUUGCGAGGUUAAGUUGAUAAGACGGAGCCGUAGCGAAAGCGAGUCUGAAUAGGGCGCCAUAGUAAGUAGACGUAGACCCGAAACCAAGUGACCUACCCAUGUCCAGGUUGAAGGUGCGGUAAAACGCACUGGAGGACCGAACUCAUGUAUGUUGAAAAAUGCUGAGAUGAGGUGUGGGUAGCGGAGAAAUUCCAAACGAACUUGGAGAUAGCUGGUUCUCUCCGAAAUAGCUUU
This 873-nucleotide ribosomal RNA is filed under the name Dellaglioa carnosa. RNAcentral's name for it is "partial 23S ribosomal RNA". It matches the Rfam family "Bacterial large subunit ribosomal RNA", at positions 1 to 871 of the family's 2925-position model. Lineage: Bacteria; Bacillati; Bacillota; Bacilli; Lactobacillales; Lactobacillaceae. The record is from RNAcentral.